This 229-nucleotide ribosomal RNA is filed under the name uncultured bacterium. RNAcentral's name for it is "partial 16S ribosomal RNA". It matches the Rfam family "Bacterial small subunit ribosomal RNA", at positions 568 to 796 of the family's 1533-position model. The record is from RNAcentral.
UUCGUAGGCGGGAUUUUAAGUCAGUGGUGAAAGCCUAUAGCUCAACUAUAGAAUUGCCAUUGAUACUGAAGUUCUUGAGUACACUUGAAGUUAGCGGAAUGUAUCAUGUAGCGGUGAAAUGCAUAGAUAUGAUACAGAACACCAAUUGCGAAGGCAGCUAACUAAAUUGUCACUGACGCUGAGGAACGAAAGCGUGGGGAGCGAACAGGAUUAGAUACCCUGGUAGUCC